RNAcentral lists this non-coding RNA (20 nucleotides) under Arabidopsis thaliana (thale cress). Lineage: Eukaryota; Viridiplantae; Streptophyta; Magnoliopsida; Brassicales; Brassicaceae. The record is from RNAcentral.
UUGUGGCAUCCUAAUAGCAU